UCCUUAUCUCUGCUUGGGGUGACGCUGCAAGAUCAGACGGAAACAUGACUUAUUAUGGUAGGCUCAGUCUCGUAUGUUCUUUUACCCCGCAGCUAAUCAAUUAUUCUGUGAUGUCCUCUCUUGUAUUCUAAUUAUGGCAUGCUCUUGUCUAUACUAAUUAGAUCAUGCAUUCAUUCAAGGUCAAGUCAGGGGCUCAGGGUAGACAGUUCAUAGUUUUCUUGCUGUUUCGUCUUUCUGCUGUUAGUUCAUUAUGCACGUCUUCUUUCUAUGCAUGUGUUGAUAACUCCAGUUGUUCCAAUCUGAUGAUGCUUUUUUUCGUGUUGUUGCUUCUGUAGGUUCUGAGAAUUUUACAUGGAUCAGGAAAUUCUAAUGUUUGACUUUGUAGUACUCAGGUAACAAUGACGUUUUGUGUAAUGUAGAUUAUUUAAAGAUUAUUGAUUUGAUAGCACUGAGAUUUCUCCUAAUACACCAUAGCAAGCAUGACUAAUAAAUCGUCCCAAAAAUGGGUAGUACAGGAGUGAUGUGCCCCAAAGCUAAUUAGUGUAGAGACCAUUGGAAAAUAGAAAUAUUGAAUUAUGUAUAGUUGGUAUAACUAGUCACCUAGAAUACUUAUCAUUUAGUCGGUUGCUGAAUUCAUCUCACUAUUAAUAUUAAUAUAAUUUUGGAUAAUUUUUGGUAGUAAACACAAGCAGAUGGUUGUUCACAAUGAAUAGCUACGUAUGAUUGGUCAAAGGUACUCGGUGUUUUAAUACAUAGUUUUUAUCUUAAAGAGCCAUGGGUAUUCAGAACAUGUGCAUGACAAUUAAGAGAGAAAUAGAAUGUCCUCGGUUUACAAAGUAAGGGUGAAGACCCGGAGUCUCUGUGUUUGUACUUCAUAGCAUGGCAAUCACCCUUUCGCUAGUGCGUAUUUUGUUAUUUCUUUACAGAGCGAUGCUACUGAUGUUGCAAGUAUCUGCACUUUCCACUUCUGCAUUUUGGUCUUUUUUAUAAAAAAAUAGACUGGAACACUAAAACUAUAUAAUGAUAGUUCAUAUAGUUUUGAAUUUAUGCGAGAUGCAAAAAAAGUUAGUACAUGGAUAUAGGGCAUAAUCAUGUUGUUUAAUAAUUGUUGUAGAUGUUUUUAUAACCAGAUUAUUAAUUAUCCCACCUCUAUGUACAAAUCUAAGUUUUGGUAAAAAACAUUUGUACGGUGCUCCUUUAAAUUUUACUUCUAUAUUAAUCUAAUUUACUUUACUAUAAUUUCUCGCCUCAUAUUGUUAUUUUGUAGAUUACCAAGAUAAAUUGAGGAUGCAUGACUCAGAUUUUGAUUGCAAGGCUAAGAAGAUUUUGAUUCCGAGGCAAAUAAUUUGGCUACAAGUCAAUUAGAAUGUAAUUUUUAGUAUCAAUGUUACAAACAUUAUAGUUGAUGGCAAGGUCAAGAAUUGGCCUACUACUAGAUAGUUUCACCUCUUGUAAUCUUUGGACCAUGUUCUUUGUAAUGCCACAUAUUUUAUUUAAUAUAUGAGACUGGAUUGUUU
RNAcentral lists this long non-coding RNA (1517 nucleotides) under Triticum aestivum (bread wheat). Its description in RNAcentral is "long non-coding RNA (TAES_LNC016446)". The record is from RNAcentral. Lineage: Eukaryota; Viridiplantae; Streptophyta; Magnoliopsida; Poales; Poaceae.